GUGGGGAAUCUUGCGCAAUGGGCGAAAGCCUGACGCAGCCAUGCCGCGUGAAUGAUGAAGGUCUUAGGAUUGUAAAAUUCUUUCACCGGGGACGAUAAUGACGGUACCCGGAGAAGAAGCUCCGGCUAACUUCGUGCCAGCAGCCGCGGUAAUACGAAGGGGGCUAGCAUUGCUCGGAAUUACUGGGCGUAAAGGGCGCGUAGGCGGACAGCUUAGUCAGAGGUGAAAGCCCAGGGCUCAACCUUGGAAUUGCCUUUGAUACUGGCUGUCUUGAGUUUGGGAGAGGUGAGUGGAACUCCGAGUGUAGAGGUGAAAUUCGUAGAUAUUCGGAAGAACACCAGUGGCGAAGGCGACUCACUGGCCCAAUACUGACGCUGAGGCGCGAAAGCGUGGGGAGCAAACAGGAUUAGAUACCCCGGUAGUCC
This 425-nucleotide ribosomal RNA is filed under the name uncultured bacterium. RNAcentral's name for it is "partial 16S ribosomal RNA". It matches the Rfam family "Bacterial small subunit ribosomal RNA", at positions 354 to 796 of the family's 1533-position model. The record is from RNAcentral.